GGUUAGUACCGUCACGUAUGAACAGUUACUCUCAUACGUGUUCUUCCUUAACAACAGAGCUUUACAACCCGAAAGCCUUCUUCACUCACGCGGCGUUGCUGCAUCAGGCUUGCGCCCAUUGUGGAAGAUUCCCCACUGCUGCCUCCCGUAGGAGUAAGGCAAUGUGCCAAAAUGGGCACAGUCCCUACGGAUCAACUCCUCGAAAAAAAUUGGGUUUUCCGCACACAGCUCGCUUCUACAGAUUUAGCAGAAGUUGCCCUUCCCGUCUAACUUAGCUUAUCUGUAAAAGAGCUGGUCUCUCCCCGUUUUCCGGCCUAUAAAUUUCGGUUAUUAUGGCCCCCCCCAGUUUUACCUCUCCCCCCCACCAUCACGUUCAACACCUGCUUGAACAGGUCCUAUAUCCUUGCUGGCGGUGUGUAAAAA
RNAcentral lists this ribosomal RNA (423 nucleotides) under Limosilactobacillus fermentum. RNAcentral describes it as "Lactobacillus fermentum partial 16S ribosomal RNA". The record is from RNAcentral. Lineage: Bacteria; Bacillati; Bacillota; Bacilli; Lactobacillales; Lactobacillaceae.